Molecule: ribosomal RNA, 700 nt
Filed under: uncultured Alphaproteobacteria bacterium
Lineage: Bacteria; Pseudomonadati; Pseudomonadota; Alphaproteobacteria
Description: bacterial SSU rRNA
Rfam family: Bacterial small subunit ribosomal RNA
Source: RNAcentral
UGCAAGUCGAACGAAGCCUUCGGGCUUAGUGGCGCACGGGUGCGUAACGCGUGGGAAUCUGCCCUUGGGUUCGGAAUAACAGUUAGAAAUGACUGCUAAUACCGGAUGAUGUCUUCGGACCAAAGAUUUACCGCCCAAGGAUGAGCCCGCGUAGGAUUAGGUAGUUGGUGGGGUAAUGGCCCACCAAGCCGACGAUCCUUAGCUGGUCUGAGAGGAUGAUCAGCCACACUGGGACUGAGACACGGCCCAGACUCCUACGGGAGGCAGCAGUGGGGAAUAUUGGACAAUGGGCGAAAGCCUGAUCCAGCAAUGCCGCGUGAGUGAUGAAGGCCUUAGGGUUGUAAAGCUCUUUUACCAGGGAUGAUAAUGACAGUACCUGGAGAAUAAGCUCCGGCUAACUCCGUGCCAGCAGCCGCGGUAAUACGGAGGGAGCUAGCGUUGUUCGGAAUUACUGGGCGUAAAGCGUACGUAGGCGGUUACUCAAGUCAGAGGUGAAAGCCCGGGGCUCAACCCCGGAACUGCCUUUGAAACUAGGUAGCUAGAAUCUUGGAGAGGUCAGUGGAAUUCCGAGUGUAGAGGUGAAAUUCGUAGAUAUUCGGAAGAACACCAGUGGCGAAGGCGACUGACUGGACAAGUAUUGACGCUGAGGUACGAAAGCGUGGGGAGCAAACAGGAUUAGAUACCCUGAUAGUCCACGCCG